Molecule: small RNA, 625 nt
Filed under: uncultured bacterium
Lineage: Bacteria
Description: bacterial LSU rRNA
Rfam family: Bacterial small subunit ribosomal RNA (bases 1-186)
Source: RNAcentral
UCCAGCAGCCGCGGUAAUACGUUCCCGGGCCUUGUACACACCGCCCGUCACAUCACGAAAGUCGGUUGCACUAGAAGUCGGUGGGCCAACCCGCAAGGGAGGCAGCCGCCUAAAGUGUGAUCGGUAAUUGGGGUGAAGUCGUAACAAGGUAGCUGUAGGAGAACCUGCGGCUGGAUCACCUCCUUUCUAAGGAGCACUCUCCGCCUCGGAUCAAAACGAGGUUGCGAUCGAGUUGCACCCUAGGUCGACAGGAAUCGCAGUAACGUUCGGCCUUCUUGAUCUUCCUGUUCAGUUUUCAGGGCAUCGUCCCUGAGGUCUUUGACAAUUGAAUACGGGGAAGUAGAUAAAGAGAUGCAAGGACUUUUCUUUACGAUUGUGAAGAGAAGCAACUGCAGAUCGCAUGAAAUCAAGGCACUUUAUGGUCAAGUUACUAAGGGUUGACGGUGGAUACCUAGGCACACAGAGUCUAAGGAGACCGGGAGCACGGCACUACCUUCAGGUAGAGCAGGGUGCUCCAGCAGCCUUCGGGCUGUCGGUCAACCAGGUCAACGACUCUGCAGUGAAUUCCUCCCUCGAGGAGGCGCGUGAGGCUUGCUAUUCGGUUUUGAGAGACCGAGCUCCUCCG